RNAcentral lists this ribosomal RNA (253 nucleotides) under uncultured bacterium. Its description in RNAcentral is "partial 16S ribosomal RNA". It matches the Rfam family "Bacterial small subunit ribosomal RNA", at positions 524 to 776 of the family's 1533-position model. The record is from RNAcentral.
CACGUAGGGCGCGAGCGUUGUCCGGAAUUAUUGGGCGUAAAGAGCUCGUAGGCGGCCUGUUGCGUCCGCUGUGAAAGCCCGGGGCUUAACCCCGGGUCUGCAGUGGAUACGGGCAGGCUAGAGGUAGGUAGGGGAGAAUGGAAUUCCCGGUGUAGCGGUGAAAUGCGCAGAUAUCGGGAGGAACACCGGUGGCGAAGGCGGUUCUCUGGGCCUUACCUGACGCUGAGGGGCGAAAGCGUGGGGAGCGAACAGG